AGUGAACGCUGGCGGCAGGCCUAACACAUGCAAGUCGAGCGGCAGCGGGUCGUAGCAAUACGAUGCCGGCGAGCGGCGGACGGGUGAGGAAUACAUCGGAAUCUACCCAGUCGUGGGGGAUAACGUAGGGAAACUUACGCUAAUACCGCAUACGACCUGAGGGUGAAAGCAGGGGACCGCAAGGCCUUGCGCGAUUGGAUGAGCCGAUGUCGGAUUAGCUAGUUGGUGAGGUAAAGGCUCACCAAGGCGACGAUCCGUAGCUGGUCUGAGAGGAGGAUCAGCCACACUGGAACUGAGACACGGUCCAGAUUCCUACGGGAGGCAGCAGUGGGGAAUAUUGGACAAUGGGCGCAAGCCUGAUCCAGCCAUGCCGCGUGUGUGAAGAAGGCCUUCGGGUUAUAAAGCACUUUUGUCCGGGAAGAAAUCUUUCAGGCUAAUACCCUUGGAAGGAUGACGGUACCUGAAGAAUAAGCACCGGCUAACUACGUGCCAGCCGCCGCAGUAA
This 505-nucleotide ribosomal RNA is filed under the name uncultured bacterium. Its description in RNAcentral is "partial 16S ribosomal RNA". It matches the Rfam family "Bacterial small subunit ribosomal RNA", at positions 29 to 523 of the family's 1533-position model. The record is from RNAcentral.